Molecule: ribosomal RNA, 885 nt
Filed under: Salmonella enterica subsp. enterica serovar Infantis
Lineage: Bacteria; Pseudomonadati; Pseudomonadota; Gammaproteobacteria; Enterobacterales; Enterobacteriaceae
Description: partial 23S ribosomal RNA
Rfam family: Bacterial large subunit ribosomal RNA
Source: RNAcentral
GAUGCAGUGUACCCGCGGCAAGACGGAAAGACCCCGUGAACCUUUACUAUAGCUUGACACUGAACAUUGAGCCUUGAUGUGUAGGAUAGGUGGGAGGCUUUGAAGCGUGGACGCCAGUCUGCGUGGAGCCGACCUUGAAAUACCACCCUUUAAUGUUUGAUGUUCUAACGUGGAUCCGUAAUCCGGGUUGCGGACAGUGUCUGGUGGGUAGUUUGACUGGGGCGGUCUCCUCCUAAAGAGUAACGGAGGAGCACGAAGGUUGGCUAAUCCUGGUCGGACAUCAGGAGGUUAGUGCAAUGGCAUAAGCCAGCUUGACUGCGAGCGUGACGGCGCGAGCAGGUGCGAAAGCAGGUCAUAGUGAUCCGGUGGUUCUGAAUGGAAGGGCCAUCGCUCAACGGAUAAAAGGUACUCCGGGGAUAACAGGCUGAUACCGCCCAAGAGUUCAUAUCGACGGCGGUGUUUGGCACCUCGAUGUCGGCUCAUCACAUCCUGGGGCUGAAGUAGGUCCCAAGGGUAUGGCUGUUCGCCAUUUAAAGUGGUACGCGAGCUGGGUUUAGAACGUCGUGAGACAGUUCGGUCCCUAUCUGCCGUGGGCGCUGGAGAACUGAGGGGGGCUGCUCCUAGUACGAGAGGACCGGAGUGGACGCAUCACUGGUGUUCGGGUUGUCAUGCCAAUGGCACUGCCCGGUAGCUAAAUGCGGAAGAGAUAAGUGCUGAAAGCAUCUAAGCACGAAACUUGCCCCGAGAUGAGUUCUCCCUGAGACUUAGAGUCUCCUGAAGGAACGUUGAAGACGACGACGUUGAUAGGCCGGGUGUGUAAGCGCAGCGAUGCGUUGAGCUAACCGGUACUAAUGAACCGUGAGGCUUAACCUUACAACGCCGAAG